This is a long non-coding RNA of Nicotiana attenuata, 681 nucleotides long. RefSeq lists it as uncharacterized. The transcript is spliced from 2 exons. Lineage: Eukaryota; Viridiplantae; Streptophyta; Magnoliopsida; Solanales; Solanaceae. The record is from RefSeq and is a predicted model, not a curated record.
GCGCUGGUUCCGGGUUACGUCAAAGGUCCAGUCCAGGACAUUCCAAAGAGGAGUCGAGUCCAAUUGUCCAAUUUUUUCUUUUUAUUCCAAAUCAUUUUGUGGAAAUACAAAGAAAAAUGGAGGGGAAAACGGAGAAGGAAAACAAGAGUGUGAAGAAGAAAGCAUGCGAUGUGGAGGCUCUGAAGAAAUGUUUGGAAGAAAAUAAAGGCGACUAUUUGAAAUGCCAGUCUCAUAUUGAAGCUUUUAAGUCAUCUUGUUCUAUCAACAACCCUAAUUCUUCUUCGGAAUACCCCCCAAAGCUCAGCUCCGUUGUAGAGGACCUCAGAUAAGCAACUUGAAUGAAGAUUGGAAGACCGAAGCCCCCUAUCUUCUGCUGUUAGCAGUAAUAAAGCCAAAAAGAAGAUUCAAGUUCAAGUCACUGCAUUUUUUGUAACAUUGCACAACUAGUCUAUAGUCUUCUAUUCUAUGUAAUUUCUUCGGCUUUAACCUGAUUCCAGAAAUAUGUGGUUUUUGGUAUGUAGAAAGAGAAGAAAAUAAUGAGGAAAGCAAGUGGUGUUGGAUGGGCAGUUACAGAUUUUGCAUGCCGUUAGCAUGUUAUUGUCUUACUUGUCAUAUGUGAAGUGUCAUUUACAAAAGCAUAUUUGUCUAUUAAGCAGAGGCGGAGUUAGGAUUUCAAGCUUA